UUCAGGAGGGGGGGGUGCUCAGGCCCUAAGUCCCCUCCCUCCACCUUGCUCAGGGCUCUGGGCCUCAGGGGCAGGUGUCUCACAGUGUGGAGGUGCAGGCCAGGGGAGGCUCAGUGUGAAGGACACAUGCCCUGUGCUGAGUUCAAGGCCACUCUGUGGGCACUCAGUCAGUGACAGGCAUUGCUGAUACCACGUGAUAAACCAAGAGAAUCCCCCAGGAUGAAUGGUGACCACCCUGUGUCUCCCCCAGGAGCAGCUGCACAGGAGCUGCAGGUGAUUCAGCCUGAGAAGUCAGUGUCUGUCGCUGCUGGAGAGUCGGCCACUCUGCACUGCACUGUGACCGCCCUGCUCCCUGUGGGGUCCAUCUGGUGGUUUAAGGGGGCAGGGCCAGGCCGGGAGUUGAUCUACAACUUCAAAGAUUGCCACUUCCCCCGAGUCACAAAUCCCUCAGAUGCAACAAAGAGGGACAACAAGGACUUUUCCAUCUGCAUCAGUAAUGUCACCCCAGCAGACGCCGGCACCUACUACUGUGUGAAGUUCCAGAAAUCGACAAGUCUGGACCAGGCACCGAGUUGUCUGUGCAAGGAAAAGUGAAUUGUAAUCUUGCUUCAUACCUCAUAGCCCUGUUACUUGGACUCAAGACCCUAAUGGCUGUCAGUGUCUUUGCCAUUUACGUCCACAGGAAACAGAAGUCCUGACUAUCCUUCACCAAGCCCUGCUGCCUGGGACCCUCAGUCUUUGCCACCUUCUUCCUGCUCCACGGUGCUCAGUCUGAGAGAAGGAGCUGCCCAGAAGCCUCUGUAGACUGUUCCAAAUGUCUCCUCCCAGGACACCACCCAACCCACAGGCCCCUAUUGUGCCUCUGCCCAGUCCUUGAUGCCCCAGGCUAAGCCUGCACUCAUGGUCCUGAGCAGGGCCCUGGGACCUGCCUCUGGACAGCAACUCAUGAUCCCUCCCCAGAAUGUGACAAGAAAGCCCCAUCUGACCGCAUCAGGAUGGCUCUCCUCCUUUGCCUUGGGCUCAGCCAUCAAGCACCCCAAGUCCUCGCUCUCAAGAGUCAUUCUACCUUCUUUUUCCUGCCUACCCUUGCUCCCCAGCCUUGUUGAGGUGCAAGGUGUUGAGGUUCUCAAAGGAAACUCAUAAUUAUUUAAUAAGAAUAAUUCUCAUUCUCCUUUACAUAGAUGUCCCAUGCCUCAAAGCCAGGAAAAAAAGUUUGCCUUAAUCUGAGUGGUUUUCUUCCUCAGCACUUAUUAAUAAUAGCAUUAUACUGGAUGAUGGCAGUCCUUGUUGUCCAUAGAAACCCUGGGCCAUCUCCAUGGAGAUUAAGAAAAACAGUGAUUGUUCUUGCACAUUCACAGUUUUUUUCAGAAUAUUAAAAACUCUCAUUAUGUCAGUUAAAUGUCAGUUUAAAUGUAUAGGGAAAUGUAAAUAAUAAUAAGAUGAGCACUUAGUGUACUGUAAGUGGAAACAUUAGAAACUGAGUGGUAGUGUUGUUUUUCUUUGUAAAAAUUUAUCCAGAGGAGUCUGAAGAGUGUCCAUCUUGUUCUUCUUUAAAAUAUAAAGCAAGCAUCUUCUCUGCCUUGGGGAAUUAUCAGCCCCUUUAACACCAUCACCCUUUUGGUCACCACCACUCCCCUGGUGUAUGUGGGUAGCUUCACCUUCACUAGGUUCCUCCGUCUGCCAAAGGAAAGUCCCCAUGUGGGAUCCAUGUCCACACACCAUAGCCAGCUACUUCUAUCCUGACUCCACUUGUGUCCAGUGUGAAUCUCACUUCCAGCAUUGUCACCUCUCCUGUCCUUUCAUGUCUGUUGGCAAGUCCCUCUUUCAAUUUUUCAUUUCUGGAAAAUGUCAUGUGGGUUCAUUGUUGGGAGACAAGGAAGUCACAUGACAAUCAAGCUCCACUGUCUGUGUGGAAACUGAGUGAGACAGUCACAGGACGGAUCCAAGAGUCAACAGUGACGAGUCACUGAAGAGGAGGACCAUUUGGUGUCCCCAUAAUGGUCUGUGGAUGAAAGAGCUAGUGUGGAAUUUGCUCUAUGCAAUUGCAGUAAACCUACAGUGACAUUAAAUUUGAGCCAUGUAUUGGGGGAUUUGUGCUAUUUAAUUAAACUGUUACAACUAAAAUUCAUGCAUAUCAGCCCCAAAGUGAGAACUGCCUGUUUUUGCUUGUCUGUCUUCCUCAAAUAGAAUGUGAGUUCUAACAGGGAAUGGACCAUCUAAGCCUCCAUGUCUAGGUCAGUAACUGCAAUGUUUUUUUCAAACAGUUUUCAAAUUUUUUAAUAAAUGAAUAAAAACAUUA
Molecule: RNA transcript, 2299 nt
Organism: Marmota monax (woodchuck)
Lineage: Eukaryota; Metazoa; Chordata; Mammalia; Rodentia; Sciuridae
Gene name: signal-regulatory protein beta-1-like
Exons: 3
Source: RefSeq, a predicted model, not a curated record